This 74-nucleotide transfer RNA is filed under the name Chloroflexota bacterium. RNAcentral's name for it is "Chloroflexi bacterium tRNA-Arg". It matches the Rfam family "tRNA". Rfam says of the family: Transfer RNA (tRNA) molecules are approximately 80 nucleotides in length. The record is from RNAcentral. Lineage: Bacteria; Bacillati; Chloroflexota.
UGUCCCUGUAGCUCAGCGGAUAGAGCACCGGCCUCCGGAGCCGGGUGCGAGGGUUCGAUUCCCUCCAGGGACGU